This 475-nucleotide long non-coding RNA is filed under the name Selaginella moellendorffii. RNAcentral's name for it is "long non-coding RNA (SMOE_LNC000964)". Lineage: Eukaryota; Viridiplantae; Streptophyta; Lycopodiopsida; Selaginellales; Selaginellaceae. The record is from RNAcentral.
GGAGAUUCCGCCAACGAAGCUCACUUGCAUGCCGAUACGUGUCGCAGCGGUUUACCAUGAGAGAGAGAGAGAGAGAGAGAGAGAGAGUGCGCAGCAGGAAACCAAGAAACGCUCGGAUGCGGGGGCUCCAGUUGAUCAGGAUGCCUCCAGGGAAGAACUGAAGAAAAGGAGCGAACAAGGUGAGACGGUGAUCAAGGGAGGAACCGGUGGCAAGUCGCUGGAAGCUCAGGAAAAUCUCGCCAAAGGCCGCAGUAAAGGUGGGCAGUCCGGUCAAACAUGAAGAACUUGGUGAAAAAACUUAUUUAGCAUGUGUUGUUUUUGUUGUAGUUUGUUUUAAAUCUGUGAAAAAGAGAGAAGCACCUUUUAGUUUCGAAGAAGUUUGAACCGUAUGAUCUACUUUUUACUUGAUCUCAAACUUUUGGCUUCCGAUGCAACGGCACGAGAUAAAACAAACUAUGGCAGAUGGGCCGCUUAC